RNAcentral lists this ribosomal RNA (326 nucleotides) under uncultured eukaryote. RNAcentral describes it as "partial 18S ribosomal RNA". It matches the Rfam family "Eukaryotic small subunit ribosomal RNA", at positions 1470 to 1796 of the family's 1831-position model. The record is from RNAcentral.
CCCUUAGAUGUUCUGGGCUGCACGCGCGCUACACUGAAGCGUUCAACGAGUAUUCACCUUGCCCGGGAGGGUUGGGUGAUCUUUUGAAAACGCUUCGUGAUGGGGAUAGAUUAUUGCAAUUAUUAAUCUUCAACGAGGAAUUCCUAGUAAGCGCGAGUCAUCAGCUCGUGCUGAUUACGUCCCUGCCCUUUGUACACACCGCCCGUCGCUCCUACCGAUUGAACGUUUUAGUGAGGCAUUUGGACCGACGCAUCUCAGUUUAACCGCUGGUUUGUGUUGGAAAGACUUCCAAACUUGAGCGUUUAGAGGAAGUAAAAGUCGUAACA